GCCCAGCUUGCUGGGUGGAUCAGUGGCGAACGGGUGAGUAACACGUGAGUAACCUGCCCCUGACUCUGGGAUAAGCCUUGGAAACGAGGUCUAAUACCGGAUACGUGACGCUCAGGCAUCUGAUGCGUCUGGAAAGAUUUAUCGGUCAGGGAUGGACUCGCGGCCUAUCAGCUUGUUGGUGGGGUAACGGCCCACCAAGGCGACGACGGGUAGCCGGCCUGAGAGGGCGACCGGCCACACUGGGACUGAGACACGGCCCAGACUCCUACGGGAGGCAGCAGUGGGGAAUAUUGCACAAUGGGCGCAAGCCUGAUGCAGCGACGCCGCGUGAGGGAUGAAGGCCUUCGGGUUGUAAACCUCUUUCAGCAGGGAAGAAGCGCAAGUGACGGUACCUGCAGAAGAAGCGCCGGCUAACUACGUGCCAGCAGCCGCGGUAAUACGUAGGGCGCAAGCGUUGUCCGGAAUUAUUGGGCGUAAAGAGCUCGUAGGCGGUUUGUCGCGUCUGCUGUGAAAACUCGAGGCUCAACCUCGGGCUUGCAGUGGGUACGGGCAGACUAGAGUGCGGUAGGGGAGACUGGAAUUCCUGGUGUAGCGGUGGAAUGCGCAGAUAUCAGGAGGAACACCGAUGGCGAAGGCAGGUCUCUGGGCCGCAACUGACGCUGAGGAGCGAAAGCAUGGGGAGCGAACAGGAUUAGAUACCCUGGUAGUCCAUGCCGUAAACGUUGGGCACUAGGUGUGGGGCUCAUUCCACGAGUUCCGUGCCGCAGCAAACGCAUUAAGUGCCCCGCCUGGGGAGUACGGCCGCAAGGCUAAAACUCAAAGAAAUUGACGGGGGCCCGCACAAGCGGCGGAGCAUGCGGAUUAAUUCGAUGCAACGCGAAGAACCUUACCAAGGCUUGACAUACACCGGAAACUUCCAGAGAUGGUUGCCCCGCAAGGUCGGUGUACAGGUGGUGCAUGGUUGUCGUCAGCUCGUGUCGUGAGAUGUUGGGUUAAGUCCCGCAACGAGCGCAACCCUCGUCCUAUGUUGCCAGCGGGUCAUGCCGGGGA
Molecule: ribosomal RNA, 1050 nt
Filed under: Cellulomonas sp.
Lineage: Bacteria; Bacillati; Actinomycetota; Actinomycetes; Micrococcales; Cellulomonadaceae
Description: bacterial SSU rRNA
Rfam family: Bacterial small subunit ribosomal RNA
Source: RNAcentral